GUGGGGAAUCUUGCGCAAUGGGCGAAAGCCUGACGCAGCCAUGCCGCGUGAAUGAUGAAGGUCUUAGGAUUGUAAAAUUCUUUCACCGGGGACGAUAAUGACGGUACCCGGAGAAGAAGCCCCGGCUAACUUCGUGCCAGCAGCCGCGGUAAUACGAAGGGGGCUAGCGUUGCUCGGAAUUACUGGGCGUAAAGGGCACGUAGGCGGACAGUUUAGUCAGAGGUGAAAGCCCAGGGCUCAACCUUGGAAUUGCCUUUGAUACUGGCUGUCUUGAGUACGGGAGAGGUGAGUGGAACUCCGAGUGUAGAGGUGAAAUUCGUAGAUAUUCGGAAGAACACCAGUGGCGAAGGCGACUCACUGGCCCGUUACUGACGCUGAGGCGCGAAAGCGUGGGGAGCAAACAGGAUUAGAUACCCCAGUAGUCC
This 425-nucleotide ribosomal RNA is filed under the name uncultured bacterium. RNAcentral's name for it is "partial 16S ribosomal RNA". It matches the Rfam family "Bacterial small subunit ribosomal RNA", at positions 354 to 796 of the family's 1533-position model. The record is from RNAcentral.